This 57-nucleotide ribosomal RNA is filed under the name uncultured fungus. RNAcentral describes it as "partial 28S ribosomal RNA". It matches the Rfam family "Eukaryotic large subunit ribosomal RNA", at positions 1 to 57 of the family's 3401-position model. Lineage: Eukaryota; Fungi. The record is from RNAcentral.
UAUCCUCAAAUCAGGCAAGAACACCCGCUGAACUUAAGCAUAUCAAUAAGCGGAGGA